CUGUGUGUUGUUGGGUAGGGGAGCGUUCUGUAAGCCUGUGAAGGUGUGUCGUGAGGCAUGCUGGAGGUAUCAGAAGUGCGAAUGCUGACAUAAGUAACGAUAAAGCGGGUGAAAAGCCCGCUCGCCGGAAGACCAAGGGUUCCUGUCCAACGUUAAUCGGGGCAGGGUGAGUCGACCCCUAAGGCGAGGCCGAAAGGCGUAGUCGAUGGGAAACGGGUUAAUAUUCCCGUACUUGGUGUUACUGCGAAGGGGGGACGGAGAAGGCUAUGUUGGCCGGGCGACGGUUGUCCCGGUUUAAGCGUGUAGGUGUGUGUUCCAGGUAAAUCCGGUUCACUUUAACACUGAGGCGUGACGACGAGGCACUACGGUGCUGAAGCAACAAAUGCCCUGCUUCCAGGAAAAGCCUCUAAGCAUCAGGUAACAUCAAAUCGUACCCCAAACCGACACAGGUGGUCAGGUAGAGAAUACCAAGGCGCUUGAGAGAACUCGGGUGAAGGAACUAGGCAAAAUGGUGCCGUAACUUCGGGAGAAGGCACGCUGACACGUAGGUGAAGUGAUUUACUCAUGGAGCUGAAGUCAGUCGAAGAUACCAGCUGGCUGCAACUGUUUAUUAAAAACACAGCACUGUGCAAACACGAAAGUGGACGUAUACGGUGUGACGCCUGCCCGGUGCCGGAAGGUUAAUUGAUGGGGUCAGCGCAAGCGAAGCUCCUGAUCGAAGCCCCGGUAAACGGCGGCCGUAACUAUAACGGUCCUAAGGUAGCGAAAUUCCUUGUCGGGUAAGUUCCGACCUGCACGAAUGGCGUAAUGAUGGCCAGGCUGUCUCCACCCGAGACUCAGUGAAAUUGAACUCGCUGUGAAGAUGCAGUGUACCCGCGGCAAGACGGAAAGACCCCGUGAACCUUUACUAUAGCUUGACACUGAACAUUGAGCCUUGAUGUGUAGGAUAGGUGGGAGGCUUUGAAGUGUGGACGCCAGUCUGCAUGGAGCCGACCUUGAAAUACCACCCUUUAAUGUUUGAUGUUCUAACGUGGACCCGUUACCCGGGUUGCGGACAGUGUCUGGUGGGUAGUUUGACUGGGGCGGUCUCCUCCUAAAGAGUAACGGAGGAGCACGAAGGUUGGCUAAUCCUGGUCGGACAUCAGGAGGUUAGUGCAAUGGCAUAAGCCAGCUUGACUGCGAGCGUGACGGCGCGAGCAGGUGCGAAAGCAGGUCAUAGUGAUCCGGUGGUUCUGAAUGGAAGGGCCAUCGCUCAACGGAUAAAAGGUACUCCGGGGAUAACAGGCUGAUACCGCCCAAGAGUUCAUAUCGACGGCGGUGUUUGGCACCUCGAUGUCGGCUCAUCACAUCCUGGGGCUGAAGUAGGUCCCAAGGGUAUGGCUGUUCGCCAUUUAAAGUGGUACGCGAGCUGGGUUUAGAACGUCGUGAGACAGUUCGGUCCCUAUCUGCCGUGGGCGCUGGAGAACUGAGGGGGGCUGCUCCUAGUACGAGAGGACCGGAGUGGACGCAUCACUGGUGUUCGGGUUGUCAUGCCAAUGGCACUGCCCGGUAGCUAAAUGCGGAAGAGAUAAGUGCUGAAAGCAUCUAAGCACGAAACUUGCCCCGAGAUGAGUUCUCCCUGAGACUUAGAGUCUCCUGAAGGAACGUUGAAGACGACGACGUUGAUAGGCCGGGUGUGUAAGCGCAGCGAUGCGUUGAGCUAACCGGUACUAAUGAACCGUGAGGCUUAACCUUACAACGCCG
RNAcentral lists this ribosomal RNA (1743 nucleotides) under Salmonella enterica subsp. enterica serovar Enteritidis. Its description in RNAcentral is "partial 23S ribosomal RNA". It matches the Rfam family "Bacterial large subunit ribosomal RNA", at positions 1214 to 2925 of the family's 2925-position model. The record is from RNAcentral. Lineage: Bacteria; Pseudomonadati; Pseudomonadota; Gammaproteobacteria; Enterobacterales; Enterobacteriaceae.